AAAAACAAGAUACCAUAUUUUCAAUUAAUUGGCAGAACUACAUAGGAAACAAAUCCGAAAUUGAAGAGUUUACAUAGAAGAAAAAA
RNAcentral lists this small RNA (86 nucleotides) under Arabidopsis thaliana (thale cress). RNAcentral describes it as "ATSL246450". The record is from RNAcentral. Lineage: Eukaryota; Viridiplantae; Streptophyta; Magnoliopsida; Brassicales; Brassicaceae.